RNAcentral lists this ribosomal RNA (468 nucleotides) under uncultured bacterium. RNAcentral's name for it is "partial 16S ribosomal RNA". It matches the Rfam family "Bacterial small subunit ribosomal RNA", at positions 28 to 507 of the family's 1533-position model. The record is from RNAcentral.
GACGAACGCUGGCGGCGUGCUUAACACAUGCAAGUCGAACGGAAAGGCCCUGCUUUUGUGGGGUGCUCGAGUGGCGAACGGGUGAGUAACACGUGAGUAACCUGCCCUUGACUUUGGGAUAACUUCAGGAAACUGGGGCUAAUACCGGAUAGGAGCUCCGGCUCCAUGGUGGGGGUGGGAAAGUUUCGGCGGUUGGGGAUGGACUCGCGGCUUAUCAGCUUGUUGGUGGGGUAGUGGCUUACCAAGGCUUUGACGGGUAGCCGGCCUGAGAGGGUGACCGGCCACAUUGGGACUGAGAUACGGCCCAGACUCCUACGGGAGGCAGCAGUGGGGAAUAUUGCACAAUGGGCGGAAGCCUGAUGCAGCAACGCCGCGUGCGGGAUGACGGCCUUCGGGUUGUAAACCGCUUUCGCCUGUGACGAAGCGUGAGUGACGGUAAUGGGUAAAGAAGCACCGGCUAACUACGUG